This 355-nucleotide long non-coding RNA is filed under the name Mus spicilegus (steppe mouse). RNAcentral describes it as "lncRNA (ENSMSIG00000012979.1)". Lineage: Eukaryota; Metazoa; Chordata; Mammalia; Rodentia; Muridae. The record is from RNAcentral.
CGCAGCUGUCUGUUAGAGAUGGAACAGAAAGAUAAUCGAAGGGAAAACAUUCACUGCUGUUCCAAUGACCAAAGAAAUAGGGACUCUUCAGGGUUAAGGUGACUCAUCUGAGUGCCUCCUACUCCGCCUGGGAAGUAGCUGAGCUCUGCCAUUCGCCUCUCCUGGCCAUUUACCAUCCCUUCCCACCCUGCCCACCAUUGCCCGGUAGCUUUUACCUGGGUCCACCUAUCUAGAUGACAGAGGUAUCUGGAGAAACGGCUGAAGGAUUCAGACCCAUCUUUGGAAAAGAGACAAGGUUCCAUCUUCCUGACAUAUACUGCCAUCAGGAUACCCUGACCCUGACCCUGACCCUGAG